RNAcentral lists this long non-coding RNA (231 nucleotides) under Lupinus angustifolius (narrow-leaved blue lupine). Its description in RNAcentral is "long non-coding RNA (LANG_LNC003069)". Lineage: Eukaryota; Viridiplantae; Streptophyta; Magnoliopsida; Fabales; Fabaceae. The record is from RNAcentral.
AAUUAUUUCUCAUCAAGUUCUCAAAACCCAAUACCAACAAUGUUUGCUACUAGUUCAACUACACCAUUCUCGGCAUAUGAUUCUCAACAAUAUUAUCGUCCUACUAUGCCGUCUACAAAUAUUUUUGGUAUGCAACAUACUGAUGAUGAGGUUGUCGUUGAAGAUGUUGAUGAAGAUGAAGAUGAUUCAGAUGAGGAGGAGCCACAAUUGGUGACACGUGGAAGAGCAAGA